This 252-nucleotide ribosomal RNA is filed under the name uncultured bacterium. Its description in RNAcentral is "partial 16S ribosomal RNA". It matches the Rfam family "Bacterial small subunit ribosomal RNA", at positions 524 to 776 of the family's 1533-position model. The record is from RNAcentral.
UACGUAGGUCCCGAGCGUUGUCCGGAUUUAUUGGGCGUAAAGCGAGCGCAGGUGGUUUAUUAAGUCUGGUGUAAAAGGCAGUGGCUCAACCAUUGUAUGCAUUGGAAACUGGUAGACUUGAGUGCAGGAGAGGAGAGUGGAAUUCCAUGUGUAGCGGUGAAAUGCGUAGAUAUAUGGAGGAACACCGGUGGCGAAGGCGGCUUUCUGGACUGAAACUGACGCUGAGGCACGAAAGCGUGGGGAGCGAACAGG